GACUUGACCCACAGAGCUGGCCCGAUCCAACCCUGUAAAUGAGAUGGGCUAGACUGCCAUAUGAAUAGUCCAAAUAACAACCGGGCCUAUUUGGCCCGCUCCGCAUCAGCCCAAGGACUAAUAUGGAUUGGACCGGGCUAGCCCAGGUCGGCCAUGAAAAUUUAAAAAAAAUUCUUAAAAAAAAUUUUAUUACUAUUAGUAUUAGAUUUUAUUCCAAUUCAAAUGUCGUACAGCUUGAGGAAGAGGCCAACGA
This 253-nucleotide long non-coding RNA is filed under the name Elaeis guineensis (African oil palm). RNAcentral's name for it is "long non-coding RNA (EGUI_LNC010568)". Lineage: Eukaryota; Viridiplantae; Streptophyta; Magnoliopsida; Arecales; Arecaceae. The record is from RNAcentral.